This is a long non-coding RNA of Harmonia axyridis, 566 nucleotides long. RefSeq lists it as uncharacterized. Lineage: Eukaryota; Metazoa; Arthropoda; Insecta; Coleoptera; Coccinellidae. The record is from RefSeq and is a predicted model, not a curated record. The transcript has 3 exons.
UACCUUUUCUGGCGAGGGUUCUGAAUGGCCUGAGUUCUUUCAGCUUUAUAAUUCAUUAGUCCAUGAAAACAAUGAACUAGCACCCAUUCAGAAGUUUCAACUUUUAAAAUCAUAUUUGCGAAAUGAUGCUCUAUCUGUCAUAUCUGGUCUUCAACUGUCAAAUGAAAAUUAUGCUCUAGCCUAUAACGCUUUAAAACGUUUAGUUCAGUUUGUUGAGCUCAAUCACUCUGCUUCUGGAGCGUGAGUACAGUACAGAUCCAUUCGUAAAGUUCGACCAUUUGAAGGCGAAUGGGGUUAGAAUAACACCCAGCACUGAUGGAAGAUCGGCAAAAGUGAAGGCGAAUAGAUACAGUCGGCCAAGAUCCAUCCCGAGUUGUAGAACCAUGGAAUUCUCGCAGUCCCAGUUGACUCCAAUAAGGGAUGAUUCCCUUAGCUCAGGAAAAGGUUGUUCCAAGAGUGGGAGUGGUUGAUAAAAAGCCUGUAUUCUGUGCUGACUUCAACAAUAUUGUAACGGAAGAGAAGAAGCCUAAAAAUUCAUAAAAUUUGGAAUAAAUUCAUAAAUAAUA